This 377-nucleotide ribosomal RNA is filed under the name uncultured bacterium. Its description in RNAcentral is "bacterial SSU rRNA". It matches the Rfam family "Bacterial small subunit ribosomal RNA", at positions 521 to 896 of the family's 1533-position model. The record is from RNAcentral.
UAAUACGUAGGUGGCAAGCGUUGUCCGGAUUUAUUGGGCGUACAGGGCGCGCAGGCGGUUCGUUUAGUCCGAGGUGAAAUCUCCUGGCUCAACUGGGAGAGGUCUUCGGAUACUGGCGGGCUUGAGGAGAGCAGAGGUGAGUGGAAUGCUGGGUGUAGUGGUGAAAUGCGUAGAUAUCCAGCGGAACACCAGUGGCGAAGGCGGCUCACUGGGCUCCACCUGACGCUGAGGCGCGAAAGCGUGGGGAGCGAACCGGAUUAGAUACCCGGGUAGUCCACGCCGUAAACGAUGGACACUAGGUGUGGGGGGUAUUGACCCCCUCCGUGCCGUAGCUAACGCAGUAAGUGUCCCGCCUAGGGAGUACGGCCGCAAGGCUA